Molecule: ribosomal RNA, 499 nt
Filed under: uncultured bacterium
Lineage: Bacteria
Description: partial 16S ribosomal RNA
Rfam family: Bacterial small subunit ribosomal RNA
Source: RNAcentral
GACGAACGCUGGCGGCGUGCCUAAUACAUGCAAGUCGAGCGGACUUUCAAGAAGCUUGCUUUUUGAAAGUUAGCGGCGGACGGGUGAGUAACACGUGGGCAACCUGCCUGCAAGACGGGGAUAACUCCGGGAAACCGGGGCUAAUACCGGAUAAUAUCUUCCUUCGCAUGAAGGAAGGUUGAAAGGCGGCGCAAGCUGCCGCUUGCAGAUGGGCCCGCGGCGCAUUAGCUAGUUGGUGAGGUAACGGCUCACCAAGGCGACGAUGCGUAGCCGACCUGAAAGGGUGAUCGGCCACACUGGGACUGAGACACGGCCCAGACUCCUACGGGAGGCAGCAGUAGGGAAUCUUCCGCAAUGGACGAAAGUCUGACGGAGCAACGCCGCGUGAGCGAAGAAGGUCUUCGGAUCGUAAAGCUCUGUUGUCAGGGAAGAACACGUACCGUUCGAACAGGGCGGUACCUUGACGGUACCUUACCAGAAAGCCACGGCUAACUACGUG